RNAcentral lists this microRNA precursor (57 nucleotides) under Homo sapiens (human). RNAcentral describes it as "Hsa-Mir-10-P2d_pre stem-loop". It matches the Rfam family "mir-10 microRNA precursor family", at positions 8 to 66 of the family's 74-position model. From Rfam's summary of the family: In this case the mature sequence comes from the 5' arm of the precursor. Lineage: Eukaryota; Metazoa; Chordata; Mammalia; Primates; Hominidae. RNAcentral also lists the same sequence under 1 other name. The record is from RNAcentral.
AACCCGUAGAUCCGAACUUGUGGUAUUAGUCCGCACAAGCUUGUAUCUAUAGGUAUG